Molecule: long non-coding RNA, 612 nt
Filed under: Homo sapiens (human)
Lineage: Eukaryota; Metazoa; Chordata; Mammalia; Primates; Hominidae
Description: HSALNT0208784
Source: RNAcentral
GGAAACAUAAUGUCCUGAUAAAAAAACAACAGGGCUUCUUGUGCUGAGUGAAAAAUAGAACUUAUGCACUUCUUGGAUAAUUCUCUUGGAUGGCCUUCUAUUAAUUUUCUGGGAGAAAACUCAUGGCAUCAUAACGUCAGCUUCCCCCAAUAUUUUUCUACUUUGGAUAGGAGGACUACCUCUCAGCAUUUCCUGUAAUGGCAUUGCACACCUGUAUACCCAGUCUUUGGCAAUACACAUUACAGAUACUGGCCAAAAAAGAAUUAGAAAAUCAGUGUCAAAGUUGGAUUGUGGUCCCUGAAGACUUAGAUUAAUGGAAUUCUGCUGGAAACAUAAAGGUUGUUUCCCUGCUGUUCACAUCUGUUGCAUCCUGGGAAAAAAACAAAAAGGAAGAUGUUAUGUGAAGAGCUGAUGUUUGCAUCGCCGACUCUCCCUGAUUUGUGCUGAUGAUAGCUGAAGCUGCAGUCUUGGCAUCUUCUACUGCACAUUGUCAUCAGCAAGGUAAGAAGUGCCUUUUGCCUCCUGCCAUGAUUCUGAGGCCUCCCUCCCCAGCCAUGUGGAACCAUCCCAAACUGCCUGUAUCUCUCCUUGUUAUGCCUCAUUCAUAAAAAG